CACCUCUAGCAUAAUAAGUAUUAGAGGCAUUGCCUGCCCAGUGACUAAAGUUAAACGGCCGCGGUAUCCUGACCGUGCAAAGGUAGCAUAAUCACUUGUUCCUUAAUUAGGGACUUGUAUGAACGGCUAGACGAGGGUUCAACUGUCUCUUAUUUUUAAUCAGUGAAAUUGACCUUCCAGUGAAGAGGCUGGAAUUCUAAAAUAAGACGAGAAGACCCUAUGGAGCUUAAAUUAACAAGCUUAAUUAUUAGUAUAAUAACCAAAUGGUACAAAACAAAAAUAUAAGCUUAAAAUUUUGGUUGGGGUGACCUCGGAGAAUAAAAAAUCCUCCGAACGAUGAUAACAAAGACCAACAAGUCAAAGUGACCUAUCUAUCCAAUUGACCCAAAACAAUUUGAUCAACGGACCAAGUUACCCUAGGGAUAACAGCGCAAUCCUAUUUAAGAGUUCAUAUCGACAAUAGGGUUUACGACCUCGAUGUUGGAUCAGGACAUCCCAAUGGUGCAGAAGCUAUUAAUGGUUCGUUUGUUCAACGAUUAAAGUC
Molecule: ribosomal RNA, 544 nt
Filed under: Heimyscus fumosus
Lineage: Eukaryota; Metazoa; Chordata; Mammalia; Rodentia; Muridae
Description: partial 16S ribosomal RNA
Rfam family: Bacterial large subunit ribosomal RNA
Source: RNAcentral